Molecule: long non-coding RNA, 2818 nt
Organism: Symphalangus syndactylus (siamang)
Lineage: Eukaryota; Metazoa; Chordata; Mammalia; Primates; Hylobatidae
Source: RefSeq, a predicted model, not a curated record
AAGGAUAUGAAUGGAAGAGUAAACAGUGGACACAUUGACUAUCCAGAGAAUUCUGCAAUUCCAGGACAGUUCGUGCUGAUGGAGGACAAUAGAAAGAUCUCAGCCAUUGUGCCAGCUGUCUGACACUGAGAAGGAGGAAGCUCGAUUCAAGUCACCAGCAGAAAACAGAGUGGCCUUCAUGUCUUUUCUCUCAAGGUUCUGUAGCUUGCCAUAGCGGAAACCUGAAUCUUGUGAAAUGGAGAUGGGCAAUACAGGCAAUGGAUCCUUCAGGUCUCCUUCUUCCAAGCAAAUGUAGCCCUGGGAACACUUUCAUUGAAAAGAAAGAAGAGACAAGGUGACUGGUGACUGAUGAUACAAAAUCAGAAUAGGGGUAUUGGUAUUUUAUCCUCUGAUAUGUCAGUCUUCUGUACUUCUUGGUGAUACUACUAAUCAGGUGGGACUGCUGUUGUCCCAUAUACUGCAUUUGUAUGACUCAGAAAAAGAUGACCAUUCCUUCAGGAAGAAUCAGCCUUGGGCAUCUAGUUUGAGGAGGAGAGCACGGGCUCAAUUUCUAUUGCAGUGACUAGCUCCUCCAACCCAAACCAGCUACUCUUCUCCAGUGAACAACCUGAACAUCCACACAUGGUGGACCUGUGAACAGACCUUUGUUUUACAAGUCGCUGUGACUGAAAUGGCUGUGAAAUGAGGACUAAACUGACCGCAAGCAUUGUGCACAAUGAGGUAUACUUAAGGGUAUGUGUGUGUGUGUGUCCUGGUAAAUAACUGUGAAUUGCCAAAGAUGUCUACAGAAGUCCAAGGUGGGUAACAAGAAUGAGAACCAACAAAGGCAGCAUCUCCUAAAACGUGUUUACCAGGACCAACUUACCAGGAGAUAAUGAAAAAGCAAGAGGUGGACCUCAAGUCAUUAGGAGAGAAGAAAAUUAAAACCAGACGAUUGGCCCACUGGUGAUAAGUUGCCUGGAAUAAUCAGAGAAUUUGAAGGCUGGCUUGAUUAUCCCUGGAAUCUGGCCCAAUUCUGGUUUACAGCAAAUGUUAUUAACUAGGGAGUCCAUCAGUGACCUUCAGGGGACCUCUGAACCUCCUGAAAUUACAGUAUUAUUUUGCAUAUAUGUGUGCAUACACACUUUUGUUGUGGAGGGUCUUAGCAGUCAUCAGAUUAUCGGAUUAAGAACUGGUCUCAGCCAGGCACGGUGGCUCAUGCCUGUAAUCCCAACACUUUGGGAGGCUGAGGCAGGCAGACCACCUGAGGUCAGGAGUUCGAAACCAGCCUGGCCAACAUGGCGAAACCCCGUCUCUACUAAAAAUACAAAAAUUAGCCGGAUGCGGUGGUGGGUGCCUGUAGUCCCAGCUACUCAGGAGGCUGAGGCGGGAGAAUCAUUUGAACCCAGGAGGUGGAGGUUGCAGUGAGCCAAGAUCCUGCCAGUGCACUCCUGUCACCUGGGCGACAGAGCGAGACUCCGUCUCAAAAAAAAGAACUGGUAUCAAGAUACACAGAUGACCCGGCUGGGUGGGUCAGAGUGAAUUUUGUUAAAGAUGGAAACAUUAUACCAUAAGAUGUCCUGUCAGAAAACAAAGCUAUUUACUAUUAAGGCCAAGAAAGUUGUAAUUUUUCUUGGAAAGAAGCUACUAAUGCCUCAGAAGAACCUUUUUUCUCUUGUAUGGAGUUUGAUCACCUUGCCCAUAGGAAUCCAAUGGUAAUUCUCUGAGAGGCUUGGGUUUUCUGAAUGAGUGUACCUAAUAUUGAAUAAGCAAAGUGUGUUCCUCAUUAGAUGUUCAAACUGAUACCCUAGUAAGUUAUAUUUACAUUCUGUCAACCUCCUUAAGCUUAUAGUAAUUAAUUUUCUCCUUUUUUUGCAAUCAUCCAAAUGAGUGGGUAAGAAUCUGGGCCCUGGAGUCCUUCAAUUUGAGAUGCAAGAUAUGGCUCUUCCAGAUACCAGUUGGAGAGGUUUGUAUGUAAUUUUAUCACCCUGAAUUUCAGUUUCAGCACUUGGUAAAAUGGAGAUAAUAAUAGUAUUUACCGUAUAAAUACUGUGAGGAUAAAAUAAUCCAAUUAAUCCAUGUUAGUCACAGUGUUUGGCAUAUACUAAGUGCCUGAUACAGGUUAGAAUGAGACUUUACUCCCUGCUUCCCUUUUUAAAUUUUGUUUUUACUUUGUAUUUUUUUAAUUUAGAUAUAAUUUACACACAGUGAAAUUCACAGAUUUUAAAUGCACAGUUCAAUACGUUUUGACAAAUCCAUGCCUCUUUUUGAUAAAAGCCUCAUGCCCUUUCUAUUCCCUAUAUUCUAAAGUUUUUUGUUUUCCAAAUGCUGAAUUAUAUUACAAUAUAUAAUCUAUCCAUGAAAAAUCUUCACCCCCCUACCACCAGCAUCCAGAUUCUAUUUUUUUCUUUCUUUUUUCCCCUCAUCUUAAGGUCUGCUUCUAUAGGUUCUAAAACAGCUCCUCCCCACCCCCAGCCAAAUUUAAAACCUAGAAGGACCUUGGGACAGUCAUUUUGCCGCUUUCCUGCAUCUUGGAAAGUCUAUAGAUAAAAUCCAAUUGGUUUUAUUUUUAGAUCUCCAGGGAAAGUUUUUCUGCAACCUCUCUCAGUCACCUGUUUCAGCGCUUAGCAACACUUAACAUUAGAAAGCUCUGUCUCUGUGUGUCCCUGGCUUUUAAAUGGGUAAUAACCACUAAUGUUGAUACAAUGCUUUAGCAAGAUCCAUGAAAUGAGAUAAGAAAGGAGGUAGAGUGGAGUAAACCUGGCCACAUAAAUGAGUGCAUGUUUGUCCUUGUUGAGAAUGGCAGGAUUUGACCCAACUGAGAUUGUGCCCAGGCAGA